This 394-nucleotide ribosomal RNA is filed under the name Streptomyces albidoflavus. RNAcentral describes it as "partial 23S ribosomal RNA". It matches the Rfam family "Bacterial large subunit ribosomal RNA", at positions 2538 to 2925 of the family's 2925-position model. Lineage: Bacteria; Bacillati; Actinomycetota; Actinomycetes; Kitasatosporales; Streptomycetaceae. The record is from RNAcentral.
CGUCGCAUCCUGGGGCUGGAGUCGGUCCCAAGGGUUGGGCUGUUCGCCCAUUAAAGCGGUACGCGAGCUGGGUUUAGAACGUCGUGAGACAGUUCGGUCCCUAUCCGCUGUGCGCGUAGGAAUAUUGAGAAGGGCUGUCCCUAGUACGAGAGGACCGGGACGGACGAACCUCUGGUGUGCCAGUUGUUCUGCCAAGGGCAUGGCUGGUUGGCUACGUUCGGGAGGGAUAACCGCUGAAAGCAUCUAAGCGGGAAGCCUGCUUCGAGAUGAGUAUUCCCACCUCCUUGAGAGGGUAAGGCUCCCAGUAGACGACUGGGUUGAUAGGCCGGAUAUGGAAGCCCUGUAAGGGGUGGAGUUGACCGGUACUAAUAGGCCGAGGGCUUGUCCUCAGUUG